This 440-nucleotide ribosomal RNA is filed under the name uncultured bacterium. Its description in RNAcentral is "partial 16S ribosomal RNA". It matches the Rfam family "Bacterial small subunit ribosomal RNA", at positions 338 to 795 of the family's 1533-position model. The record is from RNAcentral.
CCUACGGGAGGCAGCAGUAGGGAAUAUUGCUCAAUGGGGGAAACCCUGAAGCAGCAACGCCGCGUGGAGGAUGAAGGUUUUCGGAUUGUAAACUCCUUUUGUUAGAGAAGAUAAUGACGGUAUCUAACGAAUAAGCACCGGCUAACUCCGUGCCAGCAGCCGCGGUAAUACGGAGGGUGCAAGCGUUACUCGGAAUCACUGGGCGUAAAGAGCGCGGAGGCGGGAUAGCAAGUCAGAUGUGAAAUCCUAGGGCUUAACCAUAGAACUGCAUUUGAAACUGUUCUUCUAGAGUAUGGGAGAGGUAGGUGGAAUUCUUGGUGUAGGGGUAAAAUCCGUAGAGAUCAAGAGGAAUACUCAUUGCGAAGGCGACCUGCUAGAACAUAACUGACGCUGAGGCGCGAAAGCGUGGGGAGCAAACAGGAUUAGAUACCCCUGUAGUC